CAGAUGCUAAUACCGGAUAACAACAGAUGAUGCCUAUCAACUGUUUUAAAAAGAUGGUUCUGCUAUCACUCUUGGAUGGACCUGCGGUGCAUUAGCUAGUUGGUAGGGUAACGGCCUACCAAGGCGAUGAUGCAUAGCCGAGUUGAGAGACUGAUCGGCCACAUUGGGACUGAGACACGGCCCAAACUCCGUACGGGAGGCAGCAGGU
Molecule: ribosomal RNA, 208 nt
Filed under: uncultured Lactobacillus sp.
Lineage: Bacteria; Bacillati; Bacillota; Bacilli; Lactobacillales; Lactobacillaceae
Description: partial 16S ribosomal RNA
Rfam family: Bacterial small subunit ribosomal RNA
Source: RNAcentral